RNAcentral lists this ribosomal RNA (448 nucleotides) under Salmonella enterica. RNAcentral's name for it is "bacterial SSU rRNA". It matches the Rfam family "Bacterial small subunit ribosomal RNA", at positions 269 to 709 of the family's 1533-position model. The record is from RNAcentral. Lineage: Bacteria; Pseudomonadati; Pseudomonadota; Gammaproteobacteria; Enterobacterales; Enterobacteriaceae. RNAcentral also lists the same sequence under 2 other names.
CAAGGCGACGAUCCCUAGCUGGUCUGAGAGGAUGACCAGCCACACUGGAACUGAGACACGGUCCAGACUCCUACGGGAGGCAGCAGUGGGGAAUAUUGCACAAUGGGCGCAAGCCUGAUGCAGCCAUGCCGCGUGUAUGAAGAAGGCCUUCGGGUUGUAAAGUACUUUCAGCGGGGAGGAAGGUGUUGUGGUUAAUAACCGCAGCAAUUGACGUUACCCGCAGAAGAAGCACCGGCUAACUCCGUGCCAGCAGCCGCGGUAAUACGGAGGGUGCAAGCGUUAAUCGGAAUUACUGGGCGUAAAGCGCACGCAGGCGGUCUGUCAAGUCGGAUGUGAAAUCCCCGGGCUCAACCUGGGAACUGCAUUCGAAACUGGCAGGCUUGAGUCUUGUAGAGGGGGGUAGAAUUCCAGGUGUAGCGGUGAAAUGCGUAGAGAUCUGGAGGAAUAC